Microtus oregoni (creeping vole) is the source of this 74-nucleotide non-coding RNA. Lineage: Eukaryota; Metazoa; Chordata; Mammalia; Rodentia; Cricetidae. The record is from the annotation of a RefSeq genome assembly.
GGGGAUGUGGCUCAGUUGGUAGAGUGCUUGCCUAGCAUGCAUGAAGCCCUGGGUUCGAUCCCCAGCACUGCCCA